Molecule: ribosomal RNA, 444 nt
Filed under: uncultured bacterium
Lineage: Bacteria
Description: bacterial SSU rRNA
Rfam family: Bacterial small subunit ribosomal RNA
Source: RNAcentral
GACGAACGCUGGCGGCGUGCUUAACACAUGCAAGUCGAACGGAAAGGCCCAGCUUGCUGGGUACUCGAGUGGCGAACGGGUGAGUAACACGUGGGUGACCUGCCUCAUACUCUGGGAUAAGCCUGGGAAACUGGGUCUAAUACUGGAUAGGACCUUUUGUUGCAUGACUUUAGGUGGAAAGCUUUUGCGGUAUGAGAUGGGCCCGCGGCCUAUCAGCUUGUUGGUGAGGUAAUGGCUCACCAAGGCGACGAUCGGUAGCUGGUCUGAGAGGAUGAUCAGCCACACUGGGACUGAGACACGGCCCAGACUCCUACGGGAGGCAGCAGUGGGGAAUAUUGGACAAUGGGCGAAAGACCUGAUCCAGCCAUGCCGCGUGAGUGAUGAAGGCCCUAGGGUUGUAAAGCUCUUUCGCCAGGGACGAUAAUGACGGUACCUGGAUAAGAA